CUUUCCUACGGGAGGCAGCAGUGGGGAAUAUUGCACAAUGGGCGAAAGCCUGAACCAGCCAAGUCGCGUGAGGGAAUAAGGCCCUACGGGUCGUAAACCUCUUUUGCCGGGGAGCAAGGGCGGGGACGUGUCCCGGCCCGGAGAGUACCCGGAGAAAAAGCAUCGGCUAACUCCGUGCCAGCAGCCGCGGUAAUACGGAGGAUGCGAGCGUUAUCCGGAUUUAUUGGGUUUAAAGGGUGCGUAGGCGGGCUUUUAAGUCAGCGGUAAAAAUUCGGGGCUCAACCCCGUCCGGCCGUU
This 297-nucleotide ribosomal RNA is filed under the name uncultured bacterium. Its description in RNAcentral is "partial 16S ribosomal RNA". It matches the Rfam family "Bacterial small subunit ribosomal RNA", at positions 334 to 628 of the family's 1533-position model. The record is from RNAcentral.